Molecule: ribosomal RNA, 219 nt
Filed under: Triticum aestivum (bread wheat)
Lineage: Eukaryota; Viridiplantae; Streptophyta; Magnoliopsida; Poales; Poaceae
Description: partial small subunit ribosomal RNA
Source: RNAcentral
AUCGUUGGACGGUCCCUUGAGCGCUUCGCAAGGCAGGUGUUGGCCAACUUAGCAAUUUCUCUAGUUCCCUGCCUAGAGUAACGGCCUUCGAGUCUUGUAUCUAUAAUCUUGUUGAACUGCUUACUUCCAACAGGAUACUGCUUUACCCAUUCCAGCAGUUUCUGCUCAUUCUUGGGGCGGUUCUUUUCCAUAGAACGUCGUCCGGUGAGGAUCUCAUAG